This 433-nucleotide ribosomal RNA is filed under the name uncultured bacterium. Its description in RNAcentral is "partial 16S ribosomal RNA". It matches the Rfam family "Bacterial small subunit ribosomal RNA", at positions 29 to 507 of the family's 1533-position model. The record is from RNAcentral.
AACGAACGCUGGCGGCAUGCCUAACACAUGCAAGUCGAACGAGACGUUCGGGUCUAGUGGCGCACGGGUUCGUAACGCGUGGGAACCUGCCCUUAGGUUCGGAAUAACUCCCCGAAAGGGGUGCUAAUACCGGAUAAUGUCUUCGGACCAAAGAUUUAUCGCCUUUGGAUGGUCCCGCGUUGGAUUAGCUAGUUGGUAGGGUUAAAGCCUACUAAGGCGACGAUCCAUAGCUGGUCUGAGAGGAUGAUCAGCCACACUGGGACUGAGACACGGCCCAGACUCCUACGGGAGGCAGCAGUGGGGAAUGUUGGACAAUGGGCGAAAGCCUGAUCCAGCAAUGCCGGGUGAGUGAUGAAGGCCUUAGGGUUGUAAAGCUCUUGUACCCGGGAUGAUAAUGACAGUACCGGGAGAAUAAGCUCCGGCUAACUACGUG